Molecule: non-coding RNA, 126 nt
Organism: Populus trichocarpa (black cottonwood)
Lineage: Eukaryota; Viridiplantae; Streptophyta; Magnoliopsida; Malpighiales; Salicaceae
Source: Rfam
AAAUGAAGGAAGCAUGGUAAUGUGCACAGAAAUUGAUCCAGUGAUGGAGGGUCACCAUGUCUGCUCCCUAUGAUGCUUCUCUUUUAUGGAGGCUUUGAAUUUGGGGCCUGGUUUAUACCCACAAUU